AACGAACGCUGGCGGCAGGCCUAACACAUGCAAGUCGAGCGCUGUAGCAAUACAGAGCGGCAGACGGGUGAGUAACGCGUGGGAACCUUCCCAGUGGUACGGAAUAGCUCAGGGAAACUUGGGGUAAUACCGUAUACGCCCUUCGGGGGAAAGAUUUAUCGCCAUUGGAUGGGCCCGCGUCGGAUUAGCUAGUUGGUAGGGUAACGGCCUACCAAGGCGACGAUCCGUAGCUGGUCUGAGAGGAUGAUCAGCCACACUGGGACUGAGACACGGCCCAGACUCCUACGGGAGGCAGCAGUGGGGAAUAUUGGACAAUGGGCGCAAGCCUGAUCCAGCCAUGCCGCGUGAGUGACGAAGGUCUUCGGAUUGUAAAGCUCUUUUGGCGGGGACGAUAAUGACGGUACCCGCAGAAUAAGCCCCGGCUAACUUCGUGCCAGCCGCCGCGGUAAAAC
This 452-nucleotide ribosomal RNA is filed under the name uncultured bacterium. Its description in RNAcentral is "bacterial SSU rRNA". It matches the Rfam family "Bacterial small subunit ribosomal RNA", at positions 29 to 526 of the family's 1533-position model. The record is from RNAcentral.